AUGGCCACCCACACCACCUCCACCCAUACCUCCACCCAACCACACCUCCACCCCUCACUACCUCCACCCCUCACUACCUCCACCCCUCACUACCUCCACCCCUCACUACCUCCACCCCUCACUACCUCCACCCCUCACUACCUCCACCCCUCACUACCUCCACCCAACCACUCCUCCACCCCUCACUACCUCCACCCCUCACUACCUCCACCCCUCACUACCUCCACCCCUCACUACCUCCACCCCUCACUACCUCCACCCCUCACUACCUCCACCCAACCACUCCUCCACCCCUCACUACCUCCACCCCUCACUACCUCCACCCCUCACUACCUCCACCCCUCCCUACCUCCACCCCUCACACUCACCACCUCCACCCAUACCUCCACCCAACCACACCUCCACCCCUCACUACCUCCACCCCUCACUACCUCCACCCCUCACUACCUCCACCCCUCACUACCUCCACCCCUCACACUCACCACCUGCACCCACACCUCCACCCCUCACACUCACCACCUCCAAGCAUACCUCCACCCCUCACACUCACCACCUCCAAGCAUACCUCCACCCAAGCAUACCUCCACCCAACCAUACCUCCACCCAACCAUACCUCCACCCAACCAUACCUCCAUCCCUCACUACCUCCACCCCUCACACUCACCACCUAAACCCAACCACACCUCCACCCCUCCCUACCUCCACCCCUCACACUCACCACCUCCAAGCAUACCUCCACCCAACCACACCUCCACCCCUCACACUCACCACCUCCACCCCUCACACUCACCACCUCCACCCAUACCUCCACCCCUCCCUACCUCCACCCCUCACACUCACCACCUCCACCCAUACCUCCACCCCUCACACUCACCACCUCCACCCAUACCUCCACCCCUCCCUACCUCCACCCCUCACACUCACCACCUCCACCCAUACCUCCACCCCUCACACUCACCACCUCCACCCAUACCUCCACCCAACCACACCUCCACCCCUCACAAACACUACCUCCGCCCAACCACACCUCCACCCCUCACACUCACCACCUCCACCCCUCACACUCACUACCUCCACCCAACCACACCUCCACCCCUCACCCUCACCACCUCCACCCACACAUUCACCCAACCAUACCUCCACCCCUCCCUACCUCCACCCCUCACACUCACUACCUCCACCCCUCACACUCACUACCUCCACCCAACCAUACCUCCACCCCUCCCUACCUCCACCCCUCACACUCACUACCUCCACCCAACCAUACCUCCACCCCUCCCUACCUCCACCCCUCACACUCACUACCUCCACCCCUCACACUCACUACCUCCACCCAACCAUACCUCCACCCCUCCCUACCUCCACCCCUCACACUCACUACCUCCACCCAACCAUACCUCCACCCCUCCCUACCUCCACCCCUCACACUCACUACCUCCACCCCUCACACUCACCACCUCCACCCAACCAUACCUCCACCCCUCCCUACCUCCACCCCUCACACUCACCACCUCCACCCAUACCUCCACCCAACCAUACCUCCCCCCCUCCCUACCUCCACACAACCCUACCACCACCAAUGAAUCAGUCUGGAUUAAACAUGUGUGGCUGCCAUCAGGGAGAAGUGUUUUAAUGAUGAAUCAUGAUCAUCAUCAUCAUCAUUAUUCAUCAUCAUUCCCCCAAGCAUUGAGGCAUAUUCUCUUGAAGUAA
Molecule: long non-coding RNA, 1710 nt
Filed under: Gadus morhua (Atlantic cod)
Lineage: Eukaryota; Metazoa; Chordata; Actinopteri; Gadiformes; Gadidae
Description: lncRNA (ENSGMOG00000028322.1)
Source: RNAcentral